This 614-nucleotide ribosomal RNA is filed under the name Paraconiothyrium brasiliense. RNAcentral's name for it is "eukaryotic LSU rRNA". The stretch from base 261 to 414 matches the Rfam family "5.8S ribosomal RNA". Lineage: Eukaryota; Fungi; Ascomycota; Dothideomycetes; Pleosporales; Didymosphaeriaceae. The record is from RNAcentral.
ACAAACCGUGGGUCCUCCGCCGGUAGGGUGACUUCAGGCCACGCCUGGGUCACCUGAUCGCGGAGGUUGCGGAAGGUGGACAGCUUGCUUUUAAGGCACAGUCUUGCGCGGGGUGUCCCCUGGACUGUGCUGGCAACUGUAUGGCCGCAUCCUUCUUAUACCAGUACCUUUUCUUCUCCUUCGGUGGGGCAACCUGCCGCUGGAACUUCAAAACCAAUUUGCAUCUAGUAUUACCUGUUCUGACAAAAAACAAUCGUUACAACUUUCAACAAUGGAUCUCUUGGCUCUGGCAUCGAUGAAGAACGCAGCGAAAUGCGAUAAGUAGUGUGAAUUGCAGAAUUCAGUGAAUCAUCGAAUCUUUGAACGCACAUUGCGCCCCUUGGUAUUCCAUGGGGCAUGCCUGUUCGAGCGUCAUCUACACCCUCAAGCUCUGCUUGGUGUUGGGCGUCUGUCCCGCCUCUGCGCGUGGACUCGCCCCAAAUCGAUUGGCAGCGGCCUUUGCCUUUAUCUCGCGUAGCACAUAUGCAGAUACGUGUUGGCCCGCGACCAGAAAGCUUAUUUCGUCUUUGACCUCGGAUCAGGUAGGGAUACCCGCUGAACUUAAGCAUAUCAUA